CAUGGAGAGCUGUGGAAAGCAUCUGUUCAGAAUAUGGUGACCUAUCUGCUAGCCCUCUAUGACAUCAUACACUGUAACAUGACCCAGGAAUCAGUAGGGGAUGCUGUCAAAAUACCAGCAGUCAGAAGACUGACAGCAGGACCCGACUGCAAGAAUCCUGACAUAUCCUGGGGGGCACAAAUUAGGAUUUUUUUUUUGUGGUGUUAGGUUGACGGGGGUUACACAACAAGGUGAGUUGUUUCUGCUGUAUUAGGGAAAUGUUGUAGUUUAGCCCAUGCACUUGCACAUAUAAUAAAUGAUUUACCACA
Pseudophryne corroboree (corroboree frog) is the source of this 308-nucleotide long non-coding RNA. RefSeq lists it as uncharacterized. Lineage: Eukaryota; Metazoa; Chordata; Amphibia; Anura; Myobatrachidae. The record is from RefSeq and is a predicted model, not a curated record. The transcript is spliced from 2 exons.